AUCUCGGCUACAGAAAAAUGUU
Molecule: microRNA, 22 nt
Filed under: Mus musculus (house mouse)
Lineage: Eukaryota; Metazoa; Chordata; Mammalia; Rodentia; Muridae
Description: mmu-miR-719
Gene: mmu-miR-719
Source: miRBase by way of RNAcentral